RNAcentral lists this ribosomal RNA (463 nucleotides) under Streptomyces scabiei. RNAcentral describes it as "bacterial SSU rRNA". It matches the Rfam family "Bacterial small subunit ribosomal RNA", at positions 28 to 508 of the family's 1533-position model. The record is from RNAcentral. Lineage: Bacteria; Bacillati; Actinomycetota; Actinomycetes; Kitasatosporales; Streptomycetaceae.
GACGAACGCUGGCGGCGUGCUUAACACAUGCAAGUCGAACGAUGAAGCCCUUCGGGGUGGAUUAGUGGCGAACGGGUGAGUAACACGUGGGCAAUCUGCCCUUCACUCUGGGACAAGCCCUGGAAACGGGGUCUAAUACCGGAUAACACCUGCCCGGGCAUCCGGGUGGGUUAAAAGCUCCGGCGGUGAAGGAUGAGCCCGCGGCCUAUCAGCUUGUUGGUGAGGUAGUGGCUCACCAAGGCGACGACGGGUAGCCGGCCUGAGAGGGCGACCGGCCACACUGGGACUGAGACACGGCCCAGACUCCUACGGGAGGCAGCAGUGGGGAAUAUUGCACAAUGGGCGAAAGCCUGAUGCAGCGACGCCGCGUGAGGGAUGACGGCCUUCGGGUUGUAAACCUCUUUCAGCAGGGAAGAAGCGAAAGUGACGGUACCUGCAGAAGAAGCGCCGGCUAACUACGUGC